AAGUCGUAACAAGGUCUCCGUUGGUGAACCAGCGGAGGGAUCAUUACAGAGUUGCAAAACUCCCUAAACCAUUGUGAACGUUACCUAAACCGUUGCUUCGGCGGGCGGCCCCGGGGUUUACCCCCCGGGCGCCCCUGGGCCCCACCGCGGGCGCCCGCCGGAGGUCACCAAACUCUUGAUAAUUUAUGGCCUCUCUGAGUCUUCUGUACUGAAUAAGUCAAAACUUUCAACAACGGAUCUCUUGGUUCUG
Molecule: unclassified non-coding RNA, 250 nt
Filed under: Chaetomium angustispirale
Lineage: Eukaryota; Fungi; Ascomycota; Sordariomycetes; Sordariales; Chaetomiaceae
Also listed under: 1 other name
Description: partial internal transcribed spacer region
Rfam family: Eukaryotic small subunit ribosomal RNA (bases 1-46)
Source: RNAcentral